Molecule: long non-coding RNA, 13616 nt
Filed under: Populus tremula
Lineage: Eukaryota; Viridiplantae; Streptophyta; Magnoliopsida; Malpighiales; Salicaceae
Description: long non-coding RNA (PTRE_LNC000893)
Source: RNAcentral
AAAAAGAUAUUCAAUCCAUCUAUAUCCACGAGUUUGUGUAAUUUCUUUCCUGCUUUGAAAUGGAUCAAUUACAAAGGGUUUGAGAAGAGUGUUAUCAAGGUGCGUGAUGCGAGGGAUGGAUUUUCGCAAGACUUGAUAGAUGAGAUUCGACAAAAGAAAACCAGUUCAUGUUCAAGUCCUGAUGCAGGACCGGAGAAGACAACCGUGAUCGAAACUUUACUGUCUCUCCAAGAACAAGAACCUGAUUUCUAUACAGAUGAUAUCAUCAAGGGUCUCGUAUUGGUAAGCAGUUUUUGCAGCAGAUUUAGAUUGAUUGUCUUUCCAUCUGUUUCUGAAUUUUGGUUUGCAAUUGACAAAAUUAUUUGCUGUUCAUCGUUGGCCAUUAAGAAUUGCAUGGAGAAAUUUAUUGUGAUUAUUUCGUUUCACCCUUAUUUUUUCUACUGCCAACUGACUAAUGUCGCAGAAAAAUUACCAAGCAGAUGCUUGGUGCUGGUGAUAGUGCUUGCCUGUAAGAGAGCUGAUGAGCUGUUCUUGCUGGCUUGCUGCAUCUCUUUCUGCUUUUCUUUUCCCCUCACCAAUUUGUCUGUCUUCGUUUGGUUUUAUUAUGUGCUCUUUGUAGUUAAUCUAGACGGGCUAUGUCACCCGGUUUUCCAGGUUAAUUCUAGUUAAUUCGAUUAAGGUUUUCGAUUGAUCUAGUUACAUAUCCAAUCGAAACCUAAGUGGGGUUAAUUUAAAAAGAAACGAUGACUUUUUAACUAAAAUAAUUAAUCUGAAUUGACUCAAUGAUUGGUUUAUUGAUAUGAUAAUCUAUUAAUCCAUGCUAUUUUUUGAGUUAUUUAUUUACCUUUGAGAAAAACCGAACUGCAGAUUAUAUUAUAAUAGAAAUGUUAUUAUCAAUAUAUUAAAAAAUUCCUGAUGAAAAAUGGAUGCCGUAUGCUAAUUGCAGUAUAACAAUUCUGCCGGUCACUUUCUCAAUUCAUGCAUCUCCCCUUGCCUAACUCUGGCUCGUUUUCUUUUUUGCCCCCAUGGAACACGAACGUGGCUAUAUAUGUGUUUCCCAGCUGAUCACAAUACAUCUAUCAAGUUCUUAAAAUAUGGACAAGGAAGAUGAAUUGAUAGAUUUGUUCACAUUUUUUAUUCAAUUAUUAUGGAGCAUCCUGCAGUGUAAAUGGAUGUGUAUGUUACUAAUGCUUCUGUUCAGAAUUGAACAAAAGUAUAUAUCAGCAUUUAUCCCUGGCUGACUUGAAUUUCUUCUUGUUCUACAGGCAAUUUUUGCUGCAGGGACAGAUACAGUAGCUGUUACCAUGGAAUGGGCAAUGUCACUUCUGCUAAAUCAUCCAGAGAUAUUGCAGAAGGUAAGAGAAGAGAUUGAUAGUCAAGUUGGGCAUACGCGCUUGGUAGAGGAGUUGGAUCUUCCGAAGCUAAAAUAUCUCCGUUGCGUGAUCAAUGAGACGCUCCGGUUGUAUCCUGUUGUGCCACUCUUACUCCCACGGUGUCCAUCUGAAGACUGUACGGUGGCAGGAUACAAGGUUCCAAAAGGCACAAUCCUACAGGUGAAUGCUUUCGCCAUGCACAGGGAUCCCAAGAUGUGGGAACAACCUGACAGGUUCAAGCCAGAGAGAUUUGAAGCGACCGAGGAGGAAAAGGAAGGCAUCAAGUUUAUUCCAUUUGGAAUGGGAAGGAGGGCUUGCCCAGGAUCUAACAUGGGUAUGCGCGCAAUCAUGUUGGCAAUGGCUGCACUUUUUCAGUGCUUUGAGUGGGAGAGGACUGGACCGGAGAUGGUUGAUAUGACUCCAGCAGCAGCAAAUUCUAUGGUUAAGGUUAAGCCUUUGGAGGCUUUUUGUAAACCGUAUCAUUCCAUGGCUAACCUCUUCUCCCAGCUCUAGUGCGAAGGUAUGAUCGGGCUUCUGGAACGAUUAAUAUGUAAAUUAUUGCUUGAUUUGUGUGAUUGAGCUGUAAGGAAAACGUGGUGUUGCCUUUGAAAUAGAUCCAUCAUCCUGUUGAUUUUUGUUUCAUAGUUUCAGAGAAGAUGCCCGUAACUCAAGGGUUGAUUUUUAUUUUUAUUUUUAAAGAACCAAAACUACACUGUUUUAACAAUAAAUUUCAAUGAAAAGACCAGCGAGUUGAUGACUAGAUCUUGAUCGGUUUAGGUUGAGGUCGAUGAAGUCACAAGAAUAAUCUAAAUUUUUGACCUGAUUAGCUAAGUUUUUUCCAUUUUUCUUCAACUUGAUAUAAAAUCCAAGUUGAUUGAGUCCGACUUGUCAUCUCGUCCAAGUUUUAAAACACUGUUAAAACUAACCAUGGUAUAAGAAAAAAAAAAACAAGAAGGAUAAAAGUUAAAUAUGCUUUCCCACUACCUCUAGAUCACUAGCUUUCUUUCUACCGUGUCCAAUCUCUAAAUAGAGAAAUAGAGAAGGAAUCAUAUCAUCCGCUAGAGAGAAAAAUGGAAGUAACUCUCCGGUUGAACCUGGUACUCCUCCUCUCUUUCUAAUUGAUACAAUAUAUAGCAAAAAAAUUGAAUUAAAUUUUUUUCAACCUUAAAGAAAAGCUCAUCCGCCGCUGUAUAGCAAAAAACUCAUCCCUUAAAAGAAAAAUAAUUAGAUUAUGAAAAUAUAUUAAAAAAAUUUGCAACUUCAUUAAAAAAUAUAUGGAAAAUGUAUUAAAUUAUCUUAUCUCACCUUAAUUUCAAAAGUUGCAAUUUUUUUCUUUUGACUUUUUCCAUGCUUAACACAUUGAUGUAAAGUUAAGGCUGCCCAAUUUGGCUGCAUUAUACGUUUUCAACAAUUGCAAAGACAUUAAACAUUAAAAGAUGCCCGUCAUAACAGCCUUCUCUAGAAUUAAUAUUAAUAAAUCUACGGGCACAAAUCAAUUACUAUCACCUUCGACGUAGUUUGGGAGUAGGCUUGUGAAAAUUUAUUUAUUUAUAAUUUAUAAUUUAUUUUUUUGUGUUUUUAUAUUAUUUUAAUAUAUUAAUAUCAAAAAUAUAUUUUUUGAAAUUAAAAAAAGUUAUUUUAAUAUAUUUAAAAUAAAAAAUACUUUAAAAAACAAUUAAAAGUGCACUUAAAAUCAACCAAGAAGGGUGUAACUCAACUGGUUAGAUCCUGAAUUUGUUUUUUAGAGAUUAUUAAUUCGAGUUCACAAACUUUAGGAUUACUGGAGACUUAUAUGAUUGUUAACUUUAAAUCUCGACGGGAAAACAUGAAAAGAAAAGGAAAGCAGUAAUUUAUUUUUUAAAAAUGGAUGCAAUUGCAGGCAAUGUUAAUUGCUGGAAGUGAGACUUUUCAUCUGCUUCUAUGGAAUGGGCAAUGUCACUUCUCCUUGAGCAUCCUGAAGCAAUGAAAAGGGCUUUGGCUGAGAUGGACACUAAUGUUGGAAAGGUUCGCUUUUUGGAUGAAACUGAUCUACCGAAGCUAAGUUACCUUCAGAACAUAAACGACUAGUCACUUAGAUUAUAUCCACCAGGUUCGCUAAUAAAUUUUUUCACGAUAUAAUAACAUAAAUUAAUUAUUUUAAUACAAGAGUUAAUAUAAAUAUCAUAAUUGUAGGGUACUAACUAAACAUAAAAAAAAUAUUAAUUACAAUAAAAAAAAAGUAAAUUCUAAAGGCCCUAUAAACAUAGUUAGUUAACAAACUAUAAGCCUGAAAAAAAAAUAACAAGAGGAUGAAUUUAGCAACUCAAUGAAUAGAUAACGUUUAAUAUAUGCGUAUACAAUGUAAUAAAACAAUAAUGAAUACAUAUACAAAUAUGACUUUAAAUUUUUAUAUGAAAGUUUCUCAAAUAAAUCAUAAUAAGAAUAUCAUAAGGUAAAGCUCGUUAAAAAAUCAAAAUGUAAUAGUUUUUCCGAAAUCUAAUUCAAAAAAAAAAAAUCAUAACACUUGAUGAUAAUUCACCAAAUAAACCUCAAUUAUCCACCAAACCAAUCUGAAUAACUAAAACUAUAAUUAGGGACUAUUCUAGAAUUUUCUUAAAUUUUUAGGGGUCAAAUUAUAGUUUUAUCAAAUUAGAGGACCAAACUGAAAAUGUCAUAAAUCCAUAACUACAUGAACAAUUCAAAAUAAAACAAAUCAUAAAACUUGAUAACAAUUCACCAAAUAAAUCUCAAUUAUUCAUCACAUCAAUUUGAAAAACCAAAAUUACAACUAGACAUCAUAUUGGAAUUUUCUUAGAUUUUUAGGGUCAAAUUACAAUUUUUUCAAAUUAAAGGAUCAAAUUAAAAAUAUCAUAAAUUCAUAACUAUAUGAACCAAAUUGUCAUUUUUCACAAAAACCUAAACAUCAAAUGGUUUUUUCAAAAUCUAAUUAAAAAAAAAACAAAUAAUAAAAAUUUAUAAUAAUUCACCAAAUAAACCUCAAUUGUUCAUCAAGUCAAUUUGAAAAGCUAAAAUUACAAUUAGGACCAUUCUAGAAUUUUCUCAUUGUUUAGGGGUCAAAUUAUAAUUUUAUCAAAUUGGAGGACCAAAUUAAAAAUGUCAUGAGUUCAUAAUUAUACUGAAUUUUUUUCAUAAUUCAUCAUCAAUCUAGCCAAGAAUCACCAAACUAUAAUUUCUCCAAAGUUCAAGGACUAAACUAUAAUUUUUACAAAUUAAAAGACUAAACUGAAUCUCAUCAUCUUCAACCUCAAACCCAGAUUUUUCUACAAACCCAUAUUUUUUUUUUAAUAUAAGAAUCUCUAAACUUAUAAAUCUUCUCACUCUUCAGUAUAUAAUCUUGAUGCUUGGGAUACAUUGGGCCAUAAAAUCAUCACUAAAUUAGAAAUUAGCGGGUUAUGAUCUAAUAAUGGAUUCCAUGGCCUACUACCCUGGUAAAACCCGAUUUAAUUUUUUGAGUGGGAGAUCUUUUCUUUAGAACAUGAUAGAAUCAACAAAGUCUCUUUAUAAUUGUGCAGCCGAUAUAAAUAUAUAAGCACAAACGAGGACAAUGUUAUCAUGGAGCAUCUUGCUAAACCUGGUCUGUUCGGUAAAUUGACAUGGGAAAUCCAUGAUUUGAAGUCUAAAUUGGAAAAAUCAUUGAUUUGAUCAUUGUUUUGGGUGCAAUAUUCCUUCCUCGCUAAUUUUGGACAUGGAAUGAAAAUAAUUUUUUUUUGUGAAAACACUGCAAAGGAGCUCUGAUGAUAAGAAUGAGACACAUAAAUGAGGAGAGACUCCUCUUUGUUUUGAAACUGCAUGUGGACAAAGAGCGACGCCUGCUCUUUCCAUUUAAAAGCAAAUGUCUUCCAUUACAAUAAGAACACAUCACAAAGAAAAAUAAAAAAAAAUGGAGAACAUGCUUAGGCUUUGGUUCCAUUUGGUGAUCAAGUUACGACUUACGAGGGCAUUCCAGAUUCCAGUAAGUAAAGAAUCAAUGCCGGAACGUCUCCGAUCAACAAUGCAGACACUACUUGGAACCAAGAGAUCACCUUUUGUGGUCUCAGGUUCGAGUCCUAGAUUGCUCAUAUAAUGACCACCGGAGGCUUACAUGGUCAUUAACUUUAAGCCCGUGAAAUUAAUCGAGGUGCGCGCAAGCUAACCCAGACACUUAUGUUAAAUUAAAAAAUAAUGCAAACACCUAAGUAAAGAAUUAAAAAACAAAACAAUUCAAGUUAACGGCCCCUGAAACUCUGUUUAUUAAUUAAUAUAUAUCAUAAUUUUAUGUAUUAAUUAUAAAAUUAUGACAUCUCAAUUUAGUUUGAAUUUGACUUCUCAAUUUUCAAUUCCAUUGCCAUUAGCUAAUGCAAAAUGACAAGGGCAAUUGCACUGACAAAAAAUACACGCCAAGGCCAGUUUGUUUUAGCUGUCUCUUUCCACUAUUUAGCUUUUAUGGGUUCUAGUGCCCGGCCAACUGUGUAAAGUUUACCUUUGCAAUCAAAAUUUCUGUGUCUGGCUAAUCUAAGCACCCUCUAGGUAAAUGAUUGUGAUAUUUGUAAAGUUCCUCUAGGAUUCAAGACUAUUGACCUCAAGAUUUCAUAGCGGGAAGUGUAAUCGAAUCAGUCUGAAUCUCUAGAUCCUGUUCAUCAUAGCUUAUAUCUGCAAUUCUUCAUACUAAUCACUGCUGUCUUAUCGUGAAUUUUAUUAACAUCCAUCCUUCUUACGCAGAAGCCUGCACGAAGGAAGAUGGAGGUAUCUCACUGGUUCAACUUUGCAGCACUAUUCUUCUUCUUUGUGCUUGCAUCAAAGCUUAUUAUAUACAAACGGGGAGAUCCGAAAAACCUCCCACCUAGUCCACCUUCCCGUCCUAUCAUAGGGCAUCUCCAUUUAUUAAAGCAACCAAUACAUAGAACUCUGUGCGAGCUUUCUAAGAAGUAUGGUGACAUACUGUUUCUCCGAUUUGGGACUCGUAAAGUCCUUGUAAUCUCUUCACCAUCAGCCGUUGAAGAGUGCUUCACUAGAAAAGAUGUAAUAUUUGCUAACCGCCCUCGUACACUAGCCGGAAAACAUCUCAAUUACAACUCGACAACCAUUGGUGUCUCUUCUUAUGGUGAGCAUUGGCGCAACCUCAGGCGCUUAACAACCAUUGAGCUCUUCUCUGCAAGUCGUGUUGCCUCGUUCUCUGAUAUUAGAAAAGAGGAGGUUCAGCUAUUGCUAAAGCAAUUGUUUCGGGAUUCCAGCAAACAUCAGGCUAAGGCGGGGCUUACAGCAAGUUUUAUGGAGCUUACAUUCAAUGUUAUGAUGAGAAUGAUUGCAGGAAAACGUUAUUAUGGAAAAGAAGUGGUAGAUGAAGAAGCGAGACAGUUUCAUAAUAUUAUAAAAGAAAUGGAGGCGCUGCGAGGGAGUUCUAAUAUGAAUGAUUUCUUUCCAGUACUGCAAUGGAUAGAUUUCCAAGGUUUGGAGAAGAGAAUGAUGGGGUUGAAGAAGAAGAUGGACAAAUUCUUGCAGGAUCUCAUCGAGGAGCAUCAGAAAGUGAGGAGUCAGUCAUCUCAAUCCACCAAGAUAACCGGUCUGGGCAACCAAAAGAGAAACAUGACACUUAUUGAUGUUAUGUUAUCGUUGAAAGAGACAGAACCUGAAUUCUAUACUGAUCAAACCAUAAAAGGUGUAAUCAUGGUAAGAAAAUCUCUAGAACUUAUGAUCCCAAUUUCAACAAAUUGACCAGAGACAACUGUUGGGGAUCACAAGUGAUCAUUCAGUUAGGUGAUGGGCAAUAGGCUCUUUACUGUUGAUAAAUUUCUACUAAUAUUCCUGUUUAUCUGAUAUCUUCAUCCUGAAGACAUAUUGGUAACACAUCUGAGCAUGUGCAGUCAACACUAACCGCAGGAAGCCAAACUUCAGCAGCUACCUUAGAGUGGGCAAUGUCGCUUCUCCUUAACAAUCCGGACACAAUGCAAAAGGCUUCUGAAGAGAUAGAUGCUAUUGUUGGAACAGAGCACAUAUUGGAUGAAGUAGAUGUAACAAAGCUCAGUUACCUCCAAAACAUAAUUAACGAGACAUUUAGGCUCUUUCCACCUGCUCCGCUUCUUUUACCACAUGAAUCUUCCGAGGACUGCACUAUUAGUGGAUUUCAUGUGCCCCGAGGCACAAUGUUACUGGUCAAUACUUGGAGCAUUCAUAGAGAUACCAAGCUGUGGGUGGAGCCAACAAAAUUCAUGCCAGAGAGAUUUGAAGGUGGAGAAGGUGAAGGGUAUAGACUGCUUCCAUUUGGUGCUGGGAGGCGGGCUUGUCCCGGGGCUGGUCUAGCCAAGCGAAUCAUAGGCCUGACACUAGGUGUCUUGAUUCAGUGCUUUGAGUGGGAUAGAGUUGGCAAAGAGGAGAUUAACUUGACAGAGGGAACAGGGCUUACCAUGCCCAAAGCUGAACCACUGGAGGCGUUGUGCAGACCUCGCCAAUCCAUGGUCAGCCUCCUCUCUUCUAUGUGAAGCAUAUGGAUGAUUUCCCUAAAGUAUGCUCUCUUUGUUUGUUCUGAGACAUUCUAUAACUAAGUUUUUCAUAGCAUCCACAAUAAUAUAUAUAAGCAAUGAAAACCUGUCCCAACUUUGAUGAACGAACGAACCAGAAUGUAGUUUGGCUUGCUUAAUUCCAGUCGCAUGUUUUGCUUGCAAUCUGACUAGAAAAGUCCCAAUAUCUGAUCAUGUAACUUCCCUUUACUAAUUUUAAGAUGAUAAUUGAGAUUUGAACCCGUAAUCAUUUAAUCGAUUAAAUGGGGAGGAGGUCAUGUCCCUUGGCUGGCCUUGCUAAUAGGGUGGUGGGAUUAGCAUUGGCUUCCUUGAUUCAAUGCUUUGAGUGGGAGAGAAUUCGCGAAGAGGAAGUAGACAUGUCUUAGGGGUCAGGAAUCACCAUGCUUAAAGCUAAGCCUUUGAAAGCAAUGUUCGAAGCUCGCAUGUCCAUGAUUGAUGUCCUUGCGUAGCUGGGAAUUCUGUCUGAUCACCUUUGCAAAAUAAUCAUUACAGAUCCAAAUUAGUUCCUCUGCAAUCACAUAUCUUUAUCUUUAUUAUUUGUCUGUAGCUCAAGCAUUGCAACAUCUUAUCUUCUGUAAUAUAGGAAAGGAGUUUGAGAGCAUGAAAGUGGUGAUUUUUUAAAGUGUUUUUAUUUAUAAAUAUAUUAAAAUAAUAUAAAAAAAUAAUUUUAAAAAAACUGUUUUUCUACCUGGACAAAUAUCACGUUUUAAAUUGUGGUUUUUCACUGUCAUUUCACCCCUGGUCUCUGUAUUUCUAUUCGCAAAAAUUACGUAUUGGCAUGGCCUGGUCUUAGAUUACCGGUUACAUUUGAGCAAGGUCGCGCUUCAAAGUUUUAGCUUCUUGCGUAUUGCCUCAAAAGAGAGGGCAGAGGUGUUUUUUGCGCUGUCAAUUAAGCAUCAUUGCGUAGUUUUGUUUUUUUUAUGGGUUAACUCAUUUGAUUGGACUAGGUUUAAUGAGAAUGGUUGUCUCAAAAAUUAAGAAAAGCUCAUCCGCCUCUGUAUAGCAAAAAACUCAUCCCUUAAAAGAAAAAUAAUUAAAUUAUGAAAAUAUAUUAAAAAAAUUUGCAAUUUCAUUAAAAAAUAUAUAAAAAAUGUAUUAAAUUAUCUUAUCUCACCUUAAUUUCAAAAGUGCAAUUUUUUUCUUUUGACAUUUUCCAUUCUUAACACAUUGAUGUAAAGUUAAGGCUGCCCAAUUUGGCUGCAUUAUACAUUUAUACGUUUUAAACAAUUGCAAAGAUAUUAAACAUUAAAAGAUGCCCGUCAUGACAGCCUUCUCUAGAAUUAAUAUUAAUAUUAAUAAAUCUACGGGUACAAAUCAAUUACUAUCACCUUUGACCUAGUUUUGGGAGUAGGCUUGUGAAAAUUUAUUUAUUUAUAAUUUAUAUAUUUUUUUGUGUUUUCAUAUUAUUUUAAUAUAUUAAUAUUAAAAAUAUAUUUUUUGAAUUUAAAAAAACAACCAAAAGUGCACUUAAAAUCAACCAUGAAGGGUGUAGCUCAACUAGUUAGGCCCUAAGUUUGUUUCUUAGACAUUACUAGUUCGAGUCCACAAACCUCAGGGCCACUGGAGGCUUAUAUGAUCGUUAACUUCAGAGCCCGUAAGAUUAGUCGAGGUACAUUCAAGUUAGCCCAACAACCUACAUUAAUAAUAAUAAAAAAAGACACCUUUCAAAAUCUCUCUAGAAAAACAUGAAAAGAAAAAGGAAGAAGAGAAACAAUAAUUUAUUUUUAUUUCCAAUAAUGUCAUGGACCUCAUUUUCUAAAAAUGGAUAGGCAAUGUUAAUUAUUGGAAGUGAAACUUCGAGUGCAUUUGGUAUUGUGGUAGCUUUUAUAGUUGUGGUUUGAAAAAAAAAAAAACUUUUGGUUGAGGUUGGUUUGAUAUUUAUAUAUUUGGUUAAAACUGUGGUUGAAAUUGAGAUUGAAUAAAAAGUAGUUUAAUAUGUUUGGUUAAACAUGCUUUUCAAAUUGAGGUUAUAAAAUAACUAAAAAAGAUAUGUAAAUAUUGAUAGUUUUUAAUUUAAAUAUUGUAGAUUUAACAAUCACUAUUACAUCAUUAAAUAAAUAAUACUUCAUAUCAAAUAUUUUUUAUUGUUCCAUUAACUUAUCUAUAAUUUCAUCACGUAUGAAAUUUAUCCGAUAAAGACUACAGUUUCCAUGGUUUUUUUGAGUGUGCAACAAAAUCAGGUAAAAUAUCAUUGGAAUUGCAAUCAAAUUCUGCAAAUGCUAUGUCAUCAUGCAAUCUUCUUUUAAUUUAUAUAAUGUUAAUAAAUAAUACCAAACACUAGUUCUUCAAGAAAAACACAAUUAAAAAAAUUAGAUUUUUUUUACUGGUCGGAUGCCGGUCAAUGAAUAAUGGAGUAAUAAAAAGCAUCAAUGGAGCGUUAAUCUGUUAUCUAAGCUAUUUAGGCUUCGUUUGUUUGCAGGAAAGUUGUUUCCUUUUGGAAAGUGAAUUCCGAGAAAGUAAUUUCCGAUGUUUGGCAGUGUUAUGGAAAAUGAACUGGAAAACACUUUCCAGUGUUUAUUUAUAUUAUGGAAAAUGAACUGGAAAAUAAUUUAUUAAUGAAUUAAUUUUUUUUUCAAGUUUAUCUAAUAUAUAUAAAAUAUUUAAUCACUUACAAUAAAAAAAUGAAAUCUAAAAAGUAUAAUGAUGAAUUUUUUUUAUUAUAUCCUAUAUUCAUACAUAACUUAUUUUAUAAAAUAUAACUAUAUAUGUCACAUCAUAUUAUAGAGAAAUAAGCUUGUGAAAUAUUUUUUAAGUAAAACCUAUUAAUAUAUAUUUUUUCAAUUUUAAAAGCUUAAAAUAAGUUUUUUUUUUCAUAUGAAGAAAGCCAAAUUAGUUUAUGGUAAGAGUUAUAUAUUUAGUUUUUUUUUUUAAUUCAAAAGUUCACAACGAUCAAUAACAUCAAUCAUUUUAAUUCUAAAAAAUAAUGUGAUUAUCGAAUAAUUAAAUAAAUAUAAGUUUCGAAAAUCACCUCGUAUGCGGCAACACAAUACACAAUCAAGUUCAUGGCUAGGUUCAAUUCUAUUCUAUUUUGAUUUGUUAUUUAUAACCAUGGAGAUUGUUGAGUUUAGACACUAAUAGAUAUGCAAAGCUGGUCUAUAACAUUUGUAUGAUAAAAAGACUAAUCAACCCAAAUCAUUAGUCACAAAUUAAGGAGAUUUUAUUGUUAAUCUCUAUUUUUAAAGGAACAAUACCUAUUUAGAGUUAUAUUACAUUAUAUUUCAUUAUGCUAUUAAAUAUAUAAUUUAUAACUGAAAUUAUAAAUAUAGUAUAAUUGGUUCUACUACAACAAUAUAAACAAACUACAACAGCCUAUACCUUUGCUUUAUAAAAAAACCUCUAUGUUCUCUCGCCUAUCUCUAACUCCCUGCCAUAAAACUAAAGAUGGUUUCAUUCCUCGGUUUAUCCUCCUCCUCAUUCGGUUUCAUUCCCCUAUCAUUCCCAUCAUCAUUCGGUUUCUCCUCUCAUUCGGUUUCAUUCCACUAUCAUUCCCAUCUCAUUCAGUUUGUCAUUCGGUUUCUCGUUCCCCUGGCAAUCGGUUUCUCAUUCCCUUCUCAAUUCGGUUUCACAGAUUCCCCUUUCACUCCCCUCUGAUUCCCCUCAUUCCUACUAAUUAUUUUCUUGCCUAUCACUGUUCGUUCUCUCUCGCCCAUCACAGAUCGUUCUCUCUUGGUUGUCUCUCUUCCCCUGUUCUCUCUCAGUUCUCUCUCACAAAUCCCCUGUUCUCUGAAGAAGCAGGACACCAUCACAUAUUCAAGGGGCAAGGGGCAAGGAGCAGGGGGGCUACACCUCAAGGAUCUGCUCCUCAUCCCUCUCUCACCCGACAAUUUUCUCCUCCUGUUUGCAUCUCUCUCUUUGUGCUGGAUCCAUCACAGGGUAGGGGCUGGUUGGGUCUUGUUGGGGAUUUUUAUUUCUUUCAAGAAGCUGCCGAAUGUGCAAGAAAAAUGUGUGUUUAAUGGCUUGAUUGUGAUGAGAAAUUGGUUGGGUUUUUCUGCAGAUCUUGUUUGAAUGUAAUGAGGAGAUGAAGAAGAAAACUGGGUGUAAUGAAAAAAAUUGACAGGUAGAAACAGAAAUAAAAGUUUUUUUUGGAACAGACAAACAAUCAACGAUUUUUUGCUAUUAUUCUUGCAGAUCUAAAAAAUAUGAAGAAGAUAAAAACAUAAAGGAAAUAAUAUACAGAAAUAAUAUAGAAAUUUGAGGGAAAAAAUACCUGAAAUGGAGAAUGUGAUUCUCAAAUCUUCUUGCUUUUCAACUGUUUUUGUUUUCGGACAGAGAUGCAGAGAGGGGAAAGAUGUGUUUUAUCAACGGAGCCAAAGAUUAUGAAAGUGUUUUCCUUUUGACAAGAAAAGGAAAACACUUUCCUGCGGGGAAAGUGAAUUUUUUUUGUUGACUGGAAUUAAUUUUUCUUUGACUUACUUUCCGCAUUGUCAUCAAACAUGGGAAAAUGAGGAAAAUGAAUUCCUGGAAUUUAUUUUCCUUGAAACAAACAAGGCAUUAGAGGUAAUUCCUAUUUUCUGCGACGUAAUUACAAAUAAUGGGUCUGGGCCUGUUUUCCAUUCGGAAUGGUUGCAAUUAUUCCAUUGCAAAGUGUUGGGCUGGUCAAAGAGAUAAUGGGUUGAUCCUGGGCUUAAAAACAAAUGCCAUUUUAUUUCAAAUAACUUAAAUAAAUUCUUUAUCUGCAAAUAGGCGUCAGGCCCAAUCAAAAAUAGUUCAGUGUCCCGUCUAGACUCUAGAAAGUCAACUGGCUCUAUACCUCAAGCGAAAGACCUUGUUAGUUUUUCCACGUGUUAAAUGCCAAUUUGACUUUUGUUUUUUGUUUUUACCACCCACAACCAUUAAUUUUAUUAUUUAACCAGAUAAGAAUAAGAGUUGGAUAACUGGACUAGCCACUCUUUCAUGCUUCUCUUGGAAAACAUGCUGUCUUACUACUGCCUUGCUCUCUUCUUCCUAAUUUUUCUUGUAAUCAAAUAUGUAUUCCAUGGUAACAAAAACUCGCCCCCAAGUCCUCCUUCGCUUCCAAUAAUAGGCCAUCUCCACCUUCUCAAGCCACCACUACACCAAACGCUACAGACUUUAUUGCAGCAAUAUGGCCCAGUUCUUUCCCUUAAAGUAGGCUGCAGGUCUAUGCUUGUUCUUAGUUCUCCAUCAGCUGUUGAAGAAUGUUUCACAAAGAACGACGUGAUCCUUUCCAACAGGCCUACUUUCGUAGCCGGAGAUCGUUUAACUUACAACUAUACCACUAUUGUCUUCUCUCCAUAUGGCCAUCUUUGGCGUACCCUAAGGCGCUUCGCCGUCCUUGAAAUGUUCUCUCAGAAAGGCCUCAAUAAGUUCUCUGCAGUCCGCAAAGAAGAAGUUUGCUCCCUUCUCCGCCAAUUGUCUAAAGUCUCCUGUAGUGGCAACAAAAAGGUGGAUUUGCAUUAUUUCUUCUCACUCCUCAGUUUCAAUGUCGCUAUGAGGAUGUCUGCUGGUAAGAAAUGUAUUGAAGAGGAGGUUGCCUGCUCGGAUCUGGGCAAGCAGGAUCUUAUGGAACUCAAAAAGAUAUUCCAUCUACCUUUAUCCACGAGUUUGUGUGAUUUCUUUCCUGCUUUGAAAUGGAUCAAUUACAGAGGGUUUGAGAAGAGUGUUAUCAAGGUGCGUGAUGCGAGGGAUGGAUUUUCGCAAGACUUGAUAGAUGAGAUUCGACAAAAGAAAACCAGUUCAUGUUCAAGUCCUGAUGCAGGACCGGAGAAGACAACCGUGAUCGAAACUUUAU